ACCUGGCUGGCUCAGUCAGUAGAGCAUGUGACUCUUGAUCUCAGGGUCGUGAGUACAAGCCCCAUGUUGGGCA
This 73-nucleotide transfer RNA is filed under the name Felis catus (domestic cat). It matches the Rfam family "tRNA". From Rfam's summary of the family: Transfer RNA (tRNA) molecules are approximately 80 nucleotides in length. Their secondary structure includes four short double-helical elements and three loops (D, anti-codon, and T loops). Further hydrogen bonds mediate the characteristic L-shaped molecular structure. tRNAs have two regions of fundamental functional importance: the anti-codon, which is responsible for specific mRNA codon recognition, and the 3' end, to which the tRNAs corresponding amino acid is attached (by aminoacyl-tRNA synthetases). tRNAs cope with the degeneracy of the genetic code in two manners: having more than one tRNA (with a specific anti-codon) for a particular amino acid; and 'wobble' base-pairing, i.e. permitting non-standard base-pairing at the 3rd anti-codon position. The record is from Rfam by way of RNAcentral. Lineage: Eukaryota; Metazoa; Chordata; Mammalia; Carnivora; Felidae. RNAcentral also lists the same sequence under 2 other names.